UACAGAGGUCUCAAGCGUUGUUCGGAUUCAUUGGGCGUAAAGCGCACGUAGGCGGACUCUUAAGUCGGAGGUGAAAUCCUGGAGCUCAACUCCAGAACUGCCUUCGAUACUGGGAGUCUCGAGUUCGGGAGAGGUGAGUGGAACUGCGAGUGUAGAGGUGAAAUUCGUAGAUAUUCGCAAGAACACCAGUGGCGAAGGCGGCUCACUGGCCCGAUACUGACGCUGAGGUGCGAAAGCGUGGGGAGCAAACAGG
Molecule: ribosomal RNA, 253 nt
Filed under: uncultured bacterium
Lineage: Bacteria
Description: partial 16S ribosomal RNA
Rfam family: Bacterial small subunit ribosomal RNA
Source: RNAcentral